Molecule: ribosomal RNA, 253 nt
Filed under: uncultured bacterium
Lineage: Bacteria
Description: partial 16S ribosomal RNA
Rfam family: Bacterial small subunit ribosomal RNA
Source: RNAcentral
UACGUAGGGUGCAAGCGUUAAUCGGAAUUACUGGGCGUAAAGCGUGCGCAGGCGGUUGUGUAAGACAGAUGUGAAAUCCCCGGGCUCAACCUGGGAACUGCAUUUGUGACUGCACAGCUGGAGUGCGGCAGAGGGGGAUGGAAUUCCGCGUGUAGCAGUGAAAUGCGUAGAUAUCGGGAGGAACAUCAGUGGCGAAGGCGGCCUUCUGGUCCAGUACUGACACUCAAGCGCGAAAGCGUGGGGAGCAAACAGG